GCGGGCGUAGCCCAGUGGUUAGGGUACCGCCUUCCCAUACGAGUAUAUGCGGAAUAGAGGCGGGGGUCGGGAGUUCGAAUCUCCCCGUCCGCA
Delitschia confertaspora ATCC 74209 is the source of this 93-nucleotide non-coding RNA. Lineage: Eukaryota; Fungi; Ascomycota; Dothideomycetes; Pleosporales; Delitschiaceae. The record is from the annotation of a GenBank genome assembly.